This is a long non-coding RNA of Ictalurus furcatus (blue catfish), 2233 nucleotides long. RefSeq lists it as uncharacterized. NCBI's taxonomy places the organism in Eukaryota, Metazoa, Chordata, Actinopteri, Siluriformes, Ictaluridae. The transcript has 3 exons. The record is from RefSeq and is a predicted model, not a curated record.
CCGGAAGAGUUUUCUGAACAACAACAACGCCGGUGUCCCUGGCUAACCUCGACUCUUUGAUCGAAAUUGAUUGGGACCUGAACGAAGCUGAGUCAUCCUCUUCCUCCUCCUCAUCUUCCUCAUUCCAACAAUUAAAGUCUCUGGGAAGGAGCAUAAUAAGGAAAAGAGAUUCAAACCAGGAGCUGCUUGAAUAUUUACGGACUGCAGAUGAGCGGUUCCUGCAACUCACGGGAGAACUGCAGAGAACUUCAUGAAUCCAUGCUGAAUAAAAAUGGGCGAAACUACAAAGUCAUUUCUGGCACUGUUGGGCCGUAUAGUUGUGGUGAUGGAGGGUCAGCAGGGACGCCAUGCUUAAACAUUUCUCAAUAUACAAACUUUAACGUAAUAACGUUUUGUGUAGAUUUCUUCUUGCUGUGGGUGGUCAGCUUUCAAGGGGAAAUGGCGAUUCAUUUUUUGAUGACGAUAAUUUGUGGUGACUCUAAAGUUCUUGAUGAAUGGGGCCGGAGUGAAUUUAGGAACAAUGGUCCAAUCCCACCAGUGAAGCGAGCGUGAAUACGGCAACACUGCAGACAUCCGCCUUCUCAUCAUAUGCAAGGCUAUCUGUUUAAUAAAAUGAUUAUAGAGUAGAUGGUACCAUGAGCUCAGGUUUGAACCAGCAGGCCUGGUGCUUCAAGACAACUGCACUAACCAUUGCACCACCGUGCAGGGUUGUACAGUGUAAUAUUUUCUGCACCUAUUCCUUAAACGAAACAUCACACCACACCACAGAGGCAUGGUUUUACAGUUGAGCCAACAACAGGCUUACAGUUAUCUUGUUAAGUAUUACUCAAACAGAACCAUUUGCUGGUUCUACUGGUGGCUCAAUGUGCAGGCUUCUGGAUGUGGGUCUUGAGGACUGGCAUUGGACUUUGGAUGAGGACGAUGACGAUGAGAAUGAUUUUAAUGUCUGCGGGAGUAUGCAGAGUUCGAAUCAUGGUAACUCCUGAGUGCAUGAUUGCGAGUGUGGGUUUGAAGUGGGUGUUAAUGACAGCUGCUGCUCAGCAGGAGACGGAGAACCCGUUCCGUCCCAAACAUCCUCUCUUUCAAAUCGAAUCGGACGAGACGCACUCCAUUCACAUUUCGCCGUCCAUCCCAUUUCCAGAUUUUGGUAAUGACUAACGAAGGAGAGAAUGUUUACUAUUGGGAGUUUGGCUUGUCUUUGUCUCCGCCCGCUUUUUGACCUCCUAACCUUUUCACCCCUCAGCCCGCCCAGGUCAGGAUCCCCAAAUCGGAGAAGAGAGGACUCCGAGAGCAAUCUGAAAAAGUGACUCGCACGUUUUUGGUGGGGUUUUUUUUUUCUUUCUGUUUUACAUGAAUUAUGAAUUUUUUUUUUUGCCAAACUUUUUAUUUAUCAAAUUACAAACCAUUACAGCUAGAGAAAUAACAUUCACAGUUGUAAAAAAGAAAAAAAAAGUAUUCUAUUGAAGCAGCAUCAUGAUUAAUUUUAGUAGUUUUGUUAUCUCAUGCAAUAAAAGUUUGCGAAAUGGAGUGUUUAGAGUGAUGAGUGCAUGCAUGGUGUGUCGUGUCGUGUGCCCUGUCAUGUCAAGUAUGUGCUGAAUCCGAUAUUAAACUUUUAUUGCUAUUUGUUCAAAUUUAACGCUAAACUAUUACUCACUCAGGACUUAGCGAAUUCUGUUUUGAUGGGAUUUCUGUUGCUUAUUUUUUUCAGAAGGAAAACUGAACACUUGGCAACAUUUUGUCCAAAAUAUCGUACGUUAAUCGUUUGUGAAAAUGCUAACACAAAAAAAACAACAACGAUGUUUUACUUUGUUUGGUACAGAAAUGCAGCAAAUUAACAAUGUAACUUUAGGCUCAUUGUGUGGUGGCAUGCUAGGCUAACGUUAAGUUGCACGCUGUCAGCGUUCCUGGCGUGCUUAAUGGUAAUCCUCUGAAUGUUUUCAAUAUUUCCUAAAUUCUGAGCCGGUUUCCUUGCUGUAAAGCUUUCUGUGCUAAGCAUUUACAUUCCGAAUAUAUUUCUUUUCCCGGACUUGCUUUAUCUGCUCAUGAUGCUAAUUUGCUGUCUCUAGUUUGUGCAGGUUCUGACCCUCUUUUUGGCAGGUUUUAGAUUAAACUGUACUGUUGCAUUGUGAAGUGUUUCAUGAAGUUAAAAAAAAAAACACCCACACUCUCACAGAAGUGGGUCAGCAGGCUGGUUAAGGAAAUCCCUAAAAACUCUCACGUUGUUUGUUUAAGA